RNAcentral lists this unclassified non-coding RNA (400 nucleotides) under soil metagenome. RNAcentral's name for it is "partial contains 5.8S ribosomal RNA, internal transcribed spacer 2, and large subunit ribosomal RNA". The stretch from base 1 to 122 matches the Rfam family "5.8S ribosomal RNA", at positions 35 to 154 of the family's 154-position model. The record is from RNAcentral.
GAUGAAGAACGUAGCGAAAUGCGAUACUUGGUGUGAAUUGCAGAAUCCCGUGAACCAUCGAGUCUUUGAACGCAAGUUGCGCCUCAAGCCAUUAGGUUGAGGGCACGUCUGCCUGGGCGUCACAUAUCGUUGCCUGAUGCCAGUCUCCUCGUGAUGGGUGACUGUGCAGGGCGAAUGAUGGCUUCCCGUGAGCAUUGUUGCCUCAUGGUUGGUUGAAAAUUGAGUCCUUGGUAGGGAGCGCCGUGAUAGAUGGUGGUUGAGUGACGAACGAGACCCAAUCAUGUGAGACCCCUACCGAAUUUGGCCUUCAUGACCCACAUGCGUCUUUGGAACGCUCAUGACGAGACCUCAGGUCAGGCGGGGCUACCCGCUGAGUUUAAGCAUAUCAAUAAGCGGAGGA